Molecule: long non-coding RNA, 208 nt
Filed under: Pan troglodytes (chimpanzee)
Lineage: Eukaryota; Metazoa; Chordata; Mammalia; Primates; Hominidae
Description: lncRNA (ENSPTRG00000053526.1)
Source: RNAcentral
CAACACAGGAGGACACUGAAGUCUUGGCUCAGAAAUUGCACACUCUACCCAUGUGCUAUUAGCCAAAACAAGUUGCAGGGUCAAGCCUGAUUGAGGGAUGGAGAAGCACACUCUGCCCUCCCUCCAUGAGGCCCAGAAAAAGUGUGGAUGCAGAAGAAAGUUGGAAUUGGGGGUAAAACUCUAUAACCAACACAGCUUAGCCUCUUAA